AAUGAGAGUAGCGUACUCGCGAGUAUGUUACUAUAGUGAGUACUCGCUCUGAGGAGAGGAAGAAUGUGGUUAGUUCUGUAAAUAGUGAAUAUAUUUAAGGGUGUUAUUGUGAUUUAAGUGUCCAACGCUGUCGUUUUUAUGAUGAGAAUGCGAGAGUAUGAAUUUUGGUCGUGGGAUUGAGCGUUUGCUACAGAGGAAGGGGAGCGUGAUUGAUGGAGAGGUGUGUGAGAACA
RNAcentral lists this unclassified non-coding RNA (233 nucleotides) under Hevea brasiliensis (rubber tree). Lineage: Eukaryota; Viridiplantae; Streptophyta; Magnoliopsida; Malpighiales; Euphorbiaceae. The record is from RNAcentral.